Molecule: ribosomal RNA, 1512 nt
Filed under: metagenome
Description: bacterial SSU rRNA
Rfam family: Bacterial small subunit ribosomal RNA
Source: RNAcentral
AGAAUUUGAUCUUGGUUCAGAUUGAACGCUGACGGCGUGGAUGAGGCAUGCAAGUCGAACGGUGUUAUACGAGCUUGCUCGUAUAACGGAGUGGCGAAAGGGUUAGUAAUACAUGGGUAAUCUACCUUUAACUUAGGAAUAACGGUUGGAAACGACCGCUAAUACCGGAUGUGGUGAGGCUAUACUUUAGCCAUCAUUAAAGUGGGGGAUCGCAAGACCUUGCGGUUAAAGAGGGGCCCAUGGGAUAUCAGCUUGUUGGUGUGGUAAAGGCGCACCAAGGCUAAGACGUCUAGGCGAGUCGAGAGGUUGACCGCCAACACUGGGACUGAGACACUGCCCAGACUCCUACGGGAGGCUGCAGUCGAGAAUCAUUCGCAAUGGGCGCAAGCCUGACGAUGCGACGCCGUGUGAACGAAGAAGGCCUUUGGGUUGUAAAGUUCUUUCGCUUAGGAAUAAGAGAAGGUGGCUAAUAUCCAUCUAAUUUGAAGGUACUAGGUAAAGAAGCACCGGCUAACUCCGUGCCAGCAGCUGCGGUAAUACGGAGGGUGCGAGCGUUAAUCGGAUUUAUUGGGCGUAAAGGGCGUGUAGGCGGGAAUGAAAGUCAGAUGUGAAAUCCCAGAGCUCAACUUUGGAACUGCACCUGAAACUUCAUUUCUUGAGGAUAGACGGAGAAAACGGAAUUCCACGUGUAGCGGUGAAAUGCGUAGAUAUGUGGAAGAACACCUGUGGCGAAAGCGGUUUUCUAGUUUAGACCUGACGCUGAGGCGCGAAAGCUAGGGGAGCGAACAGGAUUAGAUACCCUGGUAGUCCUAGCCGUAAACGAUGUAUACUUGGUGUAAUUGGAAUCAACCCCGAUUGUGCCGGAGCAAACGCGUUAAGUAUACCGCCUGGGGAGUACACUCGCAAGGGUGAAACUCAAAAGAAUUGACGGGGACCCGCACAAGCAGUGGAGCAUGUGGUUUAAUUCGAUGCAACGCGAAGAACCUUACCCAGACUUGACAUAUAGUAGACGUAUGCAGAGAUGUAUAUUUCCUUCGGGACUGCUAUACAGGUGCUGCAUGGCUGUCGUCAGCUCGUGCCGUGAGGUGUUGGGUUAAGUCCCGCAACGAGCGCAACCCUUAUCGUUAGUUGCCAACACGUAAUGGUGGGAACUCUAACGAGACUGCCUAGGUUAACUAGGAGGAAGGUGAGGAUGACGUCAAGUCAGCAUGGCCCUUAUGUCUGGGGCUACACACGUGCUACAAUGGCUACUACAGAAGGCCGCAAUACCGAGAGGUGGAGCAAAUCCCUAAAAGUGGCCCCAGUUCGGAUUGUAGUCUGCAACUCGACUACAUGAAGUUGGAAUUGCUAGUAAUGGCGUGUCAGCAAUAACGCCGUGAAUACGUUCCCGGGUCUUGUACACACCGCCCGUCACAUCAUGGAAGUUGGUUUUACCCGAAGUCACUGACUCGACCGCAAGGGGAGAGGUGCCUAAGGUAAGGCUGAUGACUGGGAUGAAGUCGUAACAAGGUA